CACAUCCCCACGCUUCAUCUGAAAAACUCUCCUCUCUCUUGCGAUUGGUAAUAUUUCACACAUGGAGGACUACACCUCAAAUAACAAGAAGCGGGUCCGAGAUAACUCAGACGACUCGGCCGAGGUGAAGCGGCUCAGGGAAGACCUUCUGGGUUUUCUCGACGACUCGGACGCCGAUCCCACGGCUCAGGACCUCGACUCCGUCAUGAAGAGCUUCGAGGAAGAGAUAGCUGCCGCAACAAAUUCUUGUCGGUCGUCGCCGCGUCCGGCAUCGGAUACGGAGCAAGCAUCGGAGACCGAUCCAGCUUCCGUGCC
Molecule: long non-coding RNA, 315 nt
Filed under: Malus domestica (apple)
Lineage: Eukaryota; Viridiplantae; Streptophyta; Magnoliopsida; Rosales; Rosaceae
Description: long non-coding RNA (MDOM_LNC016040)
Source: RNAcentral